Ribosomal RNA from Danio rerio (zebrafish), 115 nucleotides. NCBI's taxonomy places the organism in Eukaryota, Metazoa, Chordata, Actinopteri, Cypriniformes, Danionidae. The record is from Ensembl.
GCCGGCAGCUAGCUCUCUGCAACUCUCACAUGGUCGCUCACUGAAGCCAAGCAUGGCUGAGCCUGGUUAGUACCUGGAUGGGAGACCACACGAGAAAGCAAGGUUGCUGCCAGGA